AACCACUGUAACAUAGGAUGUAACGACUCGAUCUGCUAGUAAUAAUAAUUCGUUGAGUUUACAUCACUUGUCCAAAGUGUUUUAGUCUAAUUUUAUUACUAGAGUGUGUGUCGCAUAUAAGUCGAUCAUACUCUUUCACAUAUUAAUUCGAUAUGAAACUAUUUGAGUGUUACGAGUGAUGUCACAAUCAUAGCACUGGCAGU
RNAcentral lists this long non-coding RNA (203 nucleotides) under Ananas comosus (pineapple). RNAcentral's name for it is "long non-coding RNA (ACOM_LNC027539)". The record is from RNAcentral. Lineage: Eukaryota; Viridiplantae; Streptophyta; Magnoliopsida; Poales; Bromeliaceae.